This 542-nucleotide ribosomal RNA is filed under the name uncultured bacterium. RNAcentral's name for it is "bacterial SSU rRNA". It matches the Rfam family "Bacterial small subunit ribosomal RNA", at positions 777 to 1317 of the family's 1533-position model. The record is from RNAcentral.
AAUAGAUACCCUGGUAGUCCACGCCGUAAACGAUGAGUGCUAAGUGUUAGGGGGUUUCCGCCCCUUAGUGCUGCAGCUAACGCAUUAAGCACUCCGCCUGGGGAGUACGGUCGCAAGACUGAAACUCAAAGGAAUUGACGGGGGCCCGCACAAGCGGUGGAGCAUGUGGUUUAAUUCGAAGCAACGCGAAGAACCUUACCAGGUCUUGACAUCCCGUUGACCACUGUAGAGAUAUAGUUUCCCCUUCGGGGGCAACGGUGACAGGUGGUGCAUGGUUGUCGUCAGCUCGUGUCGUGAGAUGUUAGGUUAAGUCCCGCAACGAGCGCAACCCGUUAAUCUUAGUUGCCAUCAUUUAGUUGGGCACCCUAAGGUGACUGCCGGUGACAAACCGGAGGAAGGUGGGGAUGACGUCAAAUCAUCAUGCCCCUUAUGACCUGGGCUACACAUGUGCUACAAUGGACGAUCAAACGGUUGCCAACUCGCGAGAGGGAGCUAAUCCGAUAAAGUCGUUCUCAGUUCGGAUUGUAGGCUGCAACUCGCUA